GACGAACGCUGGCGGCGUGCUUAAUACAUGCCAGUCGAACGGAAAGACCCUGCUUUUGUGGGGCUCUCGAGUGGCGAGCGGGUGAGUAACACGUGAGUAUACUGUCCUUGUCUGUGGGGUAAAUCCAGGAGACUGCGGCGCAUACAGGAUAUGAUCUAUUGAUGCGUGGGGUGGGUUGGAAAGUUUCGGCGGUUGGGGAUGGUCUCGCGGGUUAUCAGCUUGUUGGUGGGGUAGUGGCUUACCAGGGCUUUGACGGGUAGCCGGCCUGGGAGGGGGACCGGCGACAUUGGGACUGAGAGACGGACCAGACGGCUACGGGAGGCAGCAGUGGAGAGUAUUGCACAGUGGGCGGAAGCCUGAUGUAGCGACGCUGCGUGCGGAAUGACGUCCUUCGGGUUGUAAACAGAUUUCGCAUGUGACGAAGAGUGAGUGACGGUACUGGGUAAAGAAGCACCGGCUAACUACGUG
RNAcentral lists this ribosomal RNA (468 nucleotides) under uncultured bacterium. RNAcentral's name for it is "partial 16S ribosomal RNA". It matches the Rfam family "Bacterial small subunit ribosomal RNA", at positions 28 to 507 of the family's 1533-position model. The record is from RNAcentral.